Suncus etruscus (white-toothed pygmy shrew) is the source of this 171-nucleotide small nuclear RNA. RefSeq annotates it as U1 spliceosomal RNA. The record is from RefSeq and is a predicted model, not a curated record. The transcript has a single exon. NCBI's taxonomy places the organism in Eukaryota, Metazoa, Chordata, Mammalia, Eulipotyphla, Soricidae.
CUACUCAUCUGGCAGGGGAGAUACCAUAAUCACAAAGGUGGUUUCCCCAGAAUGAGGUUCCCCCAUUACACCCCAUUAUACCCGAGUGCUGACUCCUGCGAUUUCCCUAAAUGUGAGAAACUCAACUGCAUAAUUUGUGAUAGUGGGGGGCUGCUUUCACAUUCUCCCCUG